AGUCUGCUCCUGGCUUCCUUUGGAUGAAGAUGUAGAACUCUCAGCUCCUCGUGCUCCAUGUCUGCCUGGAUGCUGCCAUGCUCCUGCCAAGAUGAUAAUGGACUCCUCAGAACCUCUCAAAAUUGAAGAUUAUUCAAGAGGAACCGACUGAAAUGCUGAGUAACUACCCAACCAAAACAUUACUACUUUAAAGGAACAUGGGCAAAAUCUUAGUGGUGGCCAUUUUAAAAACAUUGGAAGGAACGUGGCUGUCCUUGGAGGAGUCUAGCUGAAGUGUGAGACACAACUGCAAUGCUCUGUAGUCUUGAACAAGGAUCGAUUGAAGGAAAAAUUAGUCCCACAUGCAAUUGUAAGUAAGUACGCAGUGUGCAGAAGAACUAAGUCUGAUUUGACUCUACUUUGAAGAUGACUGACUCGGCUUGUAGACGCAUAGAGAGAAAGCUAGAAUAAGUUAACAAGCUCUGAACUGUGGGGGGAAAAUCACUAGGUGAUUUUUUUUUUGGUUGCCUAAAUUAUAGUAGGUUGUUUGAAUUAUUUAUAAGCACUAAUUUGAUUUUGAUAUCAUACAAAAACGAUAUAUUGUUUCAGUAGGCAGACAGACAGACAGGGUCUGUCAGAGAUGGAGGCAGAGAAACUGCAGCCUGAAGUGUGGCUCUGCUCCCCAAGUCUAUCAACUGCUGCCCGGAUUCCUGGCAGCAGAAUUCUACGGCUGGCAGGCUCAACGACACAGCCUCCUGCCAACAGGACAUUGGCAAGCAGGGACAUUAGAAAUCUUCCUUGAGAGAAUUUUAACAAAAGCCUAAUAGGCAUUACCACUUGGAACGAUGGCCAAAGGCGAAAAUCCAUAAAAAUCCCCAUCCCCCAAGUCUCUAUACAUGGUAGGGGGGAAAAAUGCAGCCAUUAAGGCAGUGAAAGGAAGUAGGGUCAUUAGGAAAUCAAACUGGCUUGGCUGCAGAGAAGACAAGAACACGGUAAGUGCAAUCCAUCUUCAGAGAACUCCCUUCCCAUCAGGCCUUGGGACCGACUGGGCCAUAAAAGCAGCAGAGAUAAGAUAAAUAAUCACUGGGAAAGCUGACAUCUUUAUAGUGAUCCACAAAUGUCAGCAAUUCACAUCCAUUUUAUGCCCCACUGCAUUUGUCUGUCGCUUCCAGAAAUGUGGGGACACGGGAUUUCCAGCUGAGGACGUUGUUGGGUCACACAGCGGGAUCCAAGGCAGGCUUUAACACACCCACUUCUGUGAUAGAACAUAGGGCCGUAUUUGCUGUCUCCUUGGAACUACACCAAAUCAUGACAGUGUAGUUCUCUUGCUGAAAGGCGGAUAAACAACGUCUGCACUCAAGGCCAGAAGGCUGGUGCAGAGGAGCCUAAGGGUGCGGGGGACCAUAGAUGAGAAGAGAAACUCAACAGUUGACUUUCCAUUUGAGAGUGGGGACGGCACGCCAGGAGAGCAUGGUCCCACAGACACAUGAUAAUGUCCCCUUUAUUUUCUGUUCUCAGACCAGCUCCCGUAGCUGUGGUUUCCCCCCAAAACCUCUCCUCCAGUGUCCAGACACGUGGGAUGCAGAGGAGGGCUUGUGGGAAAGCCUUUCCUAUCCUAGUCUCUUUUGGAGGGCUACAGUUCCUCCCUGAAAGACAGAAAACAAAACAGUCAAAUUGAACUAAAACCAAUAACGAGGCCUCCAUGGAGGACCAUUUUAAUGAAAUUAUCUCCUGAGGCUUUCUGCACACAGUUCCUAAAGACAAGGUCAAGCAGGAAAAAAAAAUCCAGGACUUCUCUUCAUAUUUCUUGUCUGCUCACGAAAAGGUAACUUUGAUUGGUUGGGGUUUUUUGUUUGUUCAUUUGUUUGUUUUUUAAUGAGACACAUGCUUCUGUCUAAAUCCUGGAGUUUCCCAUGAUGUUGACUACAGAAUGAAUAAUUUUGAAUAGCCAAGCACAAUACCCAUAUGCUAAUCAAUGUAAGCUCAAAGUUGCUGAAACCAUGGCAUUCAAUCCUGCUUCCUCAUUCAGCUAAAAAGUUACUGAGAGAGUUUUCCAGACUUUAAAAAUGAUAAAUAAUCUUUUAUUUUAUUAUGCCUGUAUUUGCAUUUAUAAAAUCAGAGAGUAUAAAUUCAUUUAUUUCCUUUAAAGCCCAUAUAUAUAUAUAUAUAUAUAUAUAUAUAUAUAUAUAUAUAUAUAUGCACACACAUACAUGCCUUUUUGGAAGUAGCAAGGUAUCCAUAAAUAGGAUACUAGUUAAAUAAGUUGUAAUAUCUCCAAAUAUGGGAUAAAGUAUCAUGAAUCUACUAAAAACAUUGGCCCAAAUCUUCGGAAAUUCUUGUGGAACAACCUCCAAGAUACAUUGUUAAGGAUAUAUAAAAAAGUAAAACCCUUAUGUGGAGCUGAGCAAGGUGAUCCCAGUGCUUGGGAGUCUGACACAGGAGGAUGACCUCAAUUUACAGCCAUAAAUGAGCUACAGAGUGAAACCAGGGCCCGUCUUGUUGUAGAAUAAGAAGAUGUGUCAAAAAGCAAAUGAGGGGGGCUGGAGAGAUGGCUCAGAGGUUAAGAGCACCGACUGCUCUUCCAGAGGUCCCGAGUUCAAAUCCCAGCAACCACAUGGUGGCUCGCAACCAUCUGUAAUGGGAUCUGAUGCCCUCUCCUGGUGUGUCUGAAGACAGCUACAGUGUACUCAUAUAUAAUAAAUAAAUAAAUAAAUCUUUAAAAAGCAAA
Rattus norvegicus (Norway rat) is the source of this 2707-nucleotide non-coding RNA. NCBI's taxonomy places the organism in Eukaryota, Metazoa, Chordata, Mammalia, Rodentia, Muridae. The record is from RefSeq and is a predicted model, not a curated record.